AACAAGGAUUCCCCUAGUAACGGCGAGUGAAGCGGGAAGAGCUCAAAUUUGAAAUCUGGUGGCCUCAGGUCAUCCGAGUUGUAAUCUAUAGAAGUGUUUUCCGUGCUGGCUCAUGUACAAGUCCCUUGGAACAGGGCGUCAUAGAGGGUGAGAAUCCCGUCCUUGACAUGAACUACCAGUGCUCUGUGAUACAUUUUCAACGAGUCGAGUUGUUUGGGAAUGCAGCUCAAAAUGGGUGGUAAAUUCCAUCUAAAGCUAAAUAUUGGCGAGAGACCGAUAGCGAACAAGUACCGUGAGGGAAAGAUGAAAAGCACUUUGGAAAGAGAGUUAAACAGUAUGUGAAAUUGUUGAAAGGGAAACGAUUGAAGUCAGUCGUGCUCUUUGGAUUCAGCCGGUUCUGCCGGUGUACUUCCUUUGAGUGGGGUCAACAUCAGUUUUGAUCGCUGGAUAAAGGCUGGAGGAACGUAGUACCCUCGGGUAAACUUAUAGCCUCCUGUCACAUACAGUGGUUGGGACUGAGGAACGCAGCACGCCUUUAUGGCCGGGAUUCGUCCACGUA
RNAcentral lists this ribosomal RNA (559 nucleotides) under Filobasidium magnum. RNAcentral's name for it is "partial large subunit ribosomal RNA". It matches the Rfam family "Eukaryotic large subunit ribosomal RNA", at positions 67 to 617 of the family's 3401-position model. Lineage: Eukaryota; Fungi; Basidiomycota; Tremellomycetes; Filobasidiales; Filobasidiaceae. The record is from RNAcentral.